This 262-nucleotide long non-coding RNA is filed under the name Elaeis guineensis (African oil palm). RNAcentral describes it as "long non-coding RNA (EGUI_LNC047623)". Lineage: Eukaryota; Viridiplantae; Streptophyta; Magnoliopsida; Arecales; Arecaceae. The record is from RNAcentral.
CUGAACUUGCACCUUCUUCACUUUCUUCUUCUUGUUCUUCUUCCCUUUCUCAAAGGAUCGAGAACCAGAAGACGAACCUCCUACUAAGUUCACCGACUCCUUGUGGAGUUGGUGAUCCUUCUCAAAGUUCUGAAGCAACCCCAGUAACCCGUGGUAGUUUACUUCAGGCUUUGUCAUUCUAUAAUGAGUGAGGAAUGGGAGAUAAGACUUGGGCAGCGAGUUCAGUAUUGCAUCUUUCCCAAGCUACUCAUGAAAGAGAAAG